This 468-nucleotide ribosomal RNA is filed under the name Staphylococcus aureus. RNAcentral describes it as "partial 23S ribosomal RNA". It matches the Rfam family "Bacterial large subunit ribosomal RNA", at positions 710 to 1176 of the family's 2925-position model. Lineage: Bacteria; Bacillati; Bacillota; Bacilli; Caryophanales; Staphylococcaceae. The record is from RNAcentral.
UAGACCCGAAACCAGGUGAUCUACCCUUGGUCAGGUUGAAGUUCAGGUAACACUGAAUGGAGGACCGAACCGACUUACGUUGAAAAGUGAGCGGAUGAACUGAGGGUAGCGGAGAAAUUCCAAUCGAACCUGGAGAUAGCUGGUUCUCUCCGAAAUAGCUUUAGGGCUAGCCUCAAGUGAUGAUUAUUGGAGGUAGAGCACUGUUUGGACGAGGGGCCCCUCUCGGGUUACCGAAUUCAGACAAACUCCGAAUGCCAAUUAAUUUAACUUGGGAGUCAGAACAUGGGUGAUAAGGUCCGUGUUCGAAAGGGAAACAGCCCAGACCACCAGCUAAGGUCCCAAAAUAUAUGUUAAGUGGAAAAGGAUGUGGCGUUGCCCAGACAACUAGGAUGUUGGCUUAGAAGCAGCCAUCAUUUAAAGAGUGCGUAAUAGCUCACUAGUCGAGUGACACUGCGCCGAAAAUGUACC